This is an RNA transcript of Apis laboriosa (Himalayan honeybee), 3271 nucleotides long. The record is from RefSeq and is a predicted model, not a curated record. Lineage: Eukaryota; Metazoa; Arthropoda; Insecta; Hymenoptera; Apidae.
UAUUUGAGUAUGAUUGCCAAUAUCUAAUUCCAAAAAAAAUAUUGUUUUAUAAACAAAAAUACUCAUGACAAUCUUUUUUAAAACAACUGAAUUUUUGGUACUUCUUGGAAUAUAAUAAUCGUUCCCAUAUAGAAGUGCAAUUAAAAUGCGAUACUUAACCUUAUAAUUUAUAGAGGUUAUGUUGUGAAACAAACGUAAUAAAAAUGGCUUAUUUAACAAGAAAAGAAAUAGACGAAAUGAAACCACAAAUAGAAAAAGCAGUUCAUAAAUUUCUUGGUUUUGGGGAACCUGCUAUUGUGACUACAGCUGUCAAUUGUAUUACUUCAGGUUACGAUAAACGCAAAACAGCAGAUAAAUUAUCCGCUUUAUUGGAAGAUAAAAAAGCUUCAAAAUUAACUGAAAAAAUAUUUGCAAUAUAUGAUGAUGCCAAAGCAGCUCAGAAAAGUAAAAAACGGAAUCAUGUGGAAGACAAGGAUAAAGACAAAGAUGCAAAAAAACCUAGGUUUAGGGAUGAUGAAAUCAAAAAUGAAAAGACAACGGAAGCACAAUUAUCUGCUGAUAAGAUAAGACAAAUGAUGGCUAAUGCCCAAAAAGAAAUUGAAGAAAGAAAAAGAGCAUUAAAAGCUAUAAAACAAGAAGAGGUUCCACCAGUAAAACCUUUACUUAAAAGAGAUUCUUUACCAACCGUAGGAAGCAUGUACAAUCAGGGUUUAUUAAGUAAAACAGAUUCUGACAAAGCACGAAAAAUUGCUGCUUUGCAAGCUCAAAUUAGAAGUAAACUAAGUUCAGGACUAUUAGGUAAUGUCAGUGUUCCAGAUAAACCAACUCCUCUAAUUUUGGAUGAAUCUGGCAGAACCGUAGAUAUAACAGGCAAAGAAGUACAAUUAACACAAGUAGUGCCAACGUUAAAAGCUAACAUUAGAGCGAAAAAACGUGAAGAAUUUAAAGCCCAAUUACAAGAAUCAAAAGGUCCAGAAGAAAUUCAAGAUACACACUUUUUUGAUACUAGAAUAGGUGUAAAACCUGCAGUAAGAGGCAAACGUACUCUCAAAUUUCAUGAACCUGGAAAGUUCCAACAGUUAGCUGAAAGAAUUCGUAUGAGAGCUCAGUUAGAAAAGUUACAAAAUGAAAUUAGUCAAAUUGCUAGAAAGACUGGUAUAAGUUCAGCAACUAAAUUAGCCCUCAUAGCUCCAAAAACAGAAGCUCUAAGCGAAGAUGUGCCUAACGUAGAGUGGUGGGAUUCUGUUAUAUUAACAGGAGGAUACCCAGACGAAAAUGAAUCCACAACUAUUAAAAGUUCCACUAUUACAAAUUUAGUAGAACAUCCUACGCAAAUGCGACCACCAACUGAUCCUUUAAAACCUAUAUAUAUGCCUGUAUUUCUAACGAAAAAAGAACGCAAAAAAUUACGAAGACAAAAUAGACGAGAAGCUUGGAAAGAGGAACAAGAAAAAAUUCGAUUAGGUCUUGAACCACCUCCAGAACCAAAAUUACGAAUUUCGAAUCUUAUGCGAGUAUUAGGUACAGAAGCUGUUCAAGAUCCUACGAAAAUAGAAGCUCAUGUUCGACAGCAAAUGGCUAAAAGAUUAAAAGCACAUGAAGAUGCUAAUGCAGCUCGAAGACUUACUGCCGACCAGCGACGUGAAAAGAAGGCGCGAAAACUUAAGGAGGAUACCACGCUCGGUGUACAUGUAGCUGUUUAUAGAAUACGUGACCUUUUAAAUAACGCUUCAAAGAAAUUUAAAGUGGAAACAAAUGCAAAACAACUUUACCUCACGGGCUGUGUAAUGCUUUUCCGAGACUGUAAUGUUGUUGUUGUAGAAGGAGGAGCAAAACAAUUAAGUAAAUAUAAACGAUUAAUGAUGAAUCGAAUUAAAUGGGAAGAAGAUAUUAUAAAAGAUAAUGAUGGAAAUGAUGUACCGAACAAAUGUGUUCUCGUAUGGGAAGGUACUAGCAAACAACGUCAUUUUGGAGAAAUCAAAUUUAAAGUUUGUCCAAUUGAAAAAAUGGCUCGAGAGCAUUUUAAAAAACACCAAGUUGAACAUUAUUGGGAUUUAGCUUAUAGUGGAGCAGUACUUGAUAACACAGAUGAUAUCCGUUCUUGAAAAUGGAUUCUGUAAUUUCAGCAAUAAAUGCUAAUAUGGACGCAAUGAUAGAUAAUUUCAAUACAUUUUAAUUUAUCUGCCCACGCUGAAUAUAAAUAAUCACACAUGACACGUAAUGUCCUUUUGUGGAUUGCCGCAUCCAGAUUGUAGGCGUGUGUUCGAGUCUGUAUAAUCAACGCAGUUAAUCAUUCGCAACGUCGUAUUCAAGAAUUUCAAUCUAUAGGUAACAUUACAGUCAAGCCUGUAAGUGUCAAUUAGCAUAGUGCAACGGCAUUGAGAGGCUAUACACGAGGUAUGCUGUAAAAGAACACGCAACAUAUGUAUAUAUACAGCAUGCCAUAUAUACGAAAGUGUGAAUGCACUUUGGAGCCUUGAAACUGUACGUCCAACCGCGACUACGAAUAACAUAGUCUAUGAAAGGUGAACCUUGGUCUUGUUCAUAAUACCAAUCUAGCUGCAACCACGAUGCGCUUUUACCGUAUCUUUCAAGUGUUAUACGUCGACCGAGCAAUACAUCGUUGACACCCUAUAUUAACAUGAUCCUUACUUGGCCCCACUCUUUGAACCCACUGAACGGACUGAAGUUUUACUUUCGUUCGAGGAUCGGUCUUAGUUCAGGUUUACCGCUUCGUGUUCUUGCGCAUACCCGGCGCGGCUCUUGCGAAAUUUUACGAGGCAAAUGAAUUUUAUCAAUUACUAUCAUACUGGGAUAGUUUUGAAAAAAAUGCCCGUGUGUAUAAGACGAAGAUCGAUCAACGGUAUAUUUCUCUUCCUAUCGCGGUGAGUGUUUUGCGUUUUCAUUUUACGAGAUAAAACGAAACGCGGCCACUUCACUGGCAUACAGUGAAUUCUAGUGAAAUUUGAAGUUAUUUCAUCUAUGAAAUUAACAUUUGAUACAUUCAAUAUUUAGAAAUGAUUUUUUCAUUUACAUUUUAAAGAUAAUGUCAAAAUUAAAAAUAUAUAUAAUUAUAUCUUUAAAAUCUUGUAUCAAUAUUCAAUUAUUAUAAAAAUAGAUAUUUUACCGAAGAAGAAAUAUUAUCAAAAAUAUUAGAAUAUUGAUUAAUAAUUCUACGUUACUUGUCAACAUGAAUAAAUUUGAUGAAAUAUAACUUCAUAUGUAUAAUAGGAAAACAUCACUAUUCAGUGAUUUAUUUUUGUGAUAAAAA